GUAGAGAGGCAGCCCCGCCAGACCCUGCAAGACCAUAGGAAUGGCAAGGAACCUGAGGAACCAGCGUGAGGAAAACCUGGAUGAUCUGACGUCUUCCUCACUUUAUCCCUACCUGUCCACGCCUCCAUCCAUCCACCCAUCCAUCACUGAUCAAGCUCUCACUAUGUCUAUAGUGUAGAAGGUGCCACCAAAUGCAAUGGAACCUCUUGUCUCAUGUGUCUACUUGCAUCUUUAAGUUGAUACACGGAAGGCACAGUCCAAGCACAGGAUACUGGAAGCUAUGGAGGUACAGUGGCCUCUGAGCAAACUGAAAACUCUCUAUCACUAAAGGGUUGGGCAUACAGGGUAUCUCCUCUGCUCUGCCACCUACCUUGAGGAUGCUUUACAUGUGGCUAAAAGUGGAG
RNAcentral lists this long non-coding RNA (404 nucleotides) under Homo sapiens (human). RNAcentral's name for it is "HSALNT0388490". The record is from RNAcentral. Lineage: Eukaryota; Metazoa; Chordata; Mammalia; Primates; Hominidae.